Molecule: ribosomal RNA, 384 nt
Filed under: Mycoplasmopsis pullorum
Lineage: Bacteria; Bacillati; Mycoplasmatota; Mycoplasmoidales; Metamycoplasmataceae
Description: bacterial SSU rRNA
Rfam family: Bacterial small subunit ribosomal RNA
Source: RNAcentral
UAACGGAAUGACAGAUGGUGCAUGGUUGUCGUCAGCUCGUGUCGUGAGAUGUUCGGUUAAGUCCUGCAACGAGCGCAACCCUUGUCCUUAGUUAGAUGAUCUAAGGAGACUGCCCGAGUAAUUGGGAGGAAGGUGGGGACGACGUCAAAUCAUCAUGCCUCUUACGAGCGGGGCAACACACGUGCUACAAUGGACGGUACAAAGAGAAGCAAGACAGCGAUGUGGAGCAAAUCUCAAAAAACCGUUCUCAGUUCGGAUUGUAGUCUGCAACUCGACUACAUGAAGUCGGAAUCGCUAGUAAUCGUAGAUCAGCUACGCUACGGUGAAUACGUUCUCGGGUCUUGUACACACCGCCCGUCACACCAUGGGAGCUGGUAAUGCCCG